GCCCGAGUAGCUCAGGGGCAGAGCACAAUCUUGGUAAGGUUGGGGUCAUGGGUUCAAUUCCCAUCUCGGGCUCCA
RNAcentral lists this transfer RNA (75 nucleotides) under Chloroflexota bacterium. Its description in RNAcentral is "tRNA-Thr". It matches the Rfam family "tRNA". From Rfam's summary of the family: Transfer RNA (tRNA) molecules are approximately 80 nucleotides in length. Their secondary structure includes four short double-helical elements and three loops (D, anti-codon, and T loops). Lineage: Bacteria; Bacillati; Chloroflexota. The record is from RNAcentral. RNAcentral also lists the same sequence under 2 other names.